CCUAUCAAAUGGGAAGUUGCUUUCUACACAUUCAGGAGGUUACCACAUUGAGAGCUUCUGUUUGGGCAGACGAGAUUCUGCCUUAUCUGGUGUCUUGGGCAGAAAGUGUUUCUCAUGCUCCUUUGCUUUGGGCGAUUGGAAUUCCAUUUGUUCCUUGUGCGCAUGGGCUGUUUGCAUUGGCUGUCUGGCUGAACUGGAUUCUCCCUUUUCCAUUUGCGCAAGACCUGUCUGAAA
This 234-nucleotide long non-coding RNA is filed under the name Manihot esculenta (cassava). RNAcentral describes it as "long non-coding RNA (MESC_LNC001431)". The record is from RNAcentral. Lineage: Eukaryota; Viridiplantae; Streptophyta; Magnoliopsida; Malpighiales; Euphorbiaceae.